Molecule: ribosomal RNA, 904 nt
Filed under: uncultured archaeon
Lineage: Archaea
Description: bacterial SSU rRNA
Rfam family: Archaeal small subunit ribosomal RNA
Source: RNAcentral
CCCUACUGCUAUCGGGGUGGGACUAAGACAUGCUAGUCGAGCGCCUUGAGCUAUGGCGAGGCGCGGCGUACAGCUCAGUAACACGUGGCUAACCUACCCUUAGGACGGAGACAACCCCGGGAAACUGGGGCUAAUAUCUGAUAGGUGAGGAGGCCUGGAAUGGUUCUUCGCUGAAAAGGCGUUGAAACCAUGCUUUUCAGCGUCGCCUAAGGAUGGGGCCGCGUCCGAUCAGGUUGUUGGUGGGGUAACGGCUCACCAAGCCUAUAACCGGUACGGGCCGUGAGAGCGGGAGCCCGGAGAUGGGCACUGAGACAAGGGCCCAGGCCCUACGGGGCGCAGCAGUCGCGAAAACUCCGCAAUGCGCGAAAGCGUGACGGGGCUACCCCGAGUGCCGUCCGCUGAGGAUGGCUUUUCCCCGGUGUAAUGAGCCGGGGGAAUAAGGAGAGGGCAAGUCUGGUGUCAGCCGCCGCGGUAAUACCAGCUCUCCGAGUGGUAGGGACGAUUAUUGGGCUUAAAGCGUCCGUAGCCGGCUUAGCAAGUCUUCUGUUAAAUUCAGCGACCUAAUCGUUGAGCCGCGGGAGAUACUACUAGGCUAGGAGGCGGGAGAGGCCGGCGGUAUUCUCGGGGUAGGGGUGAAAUCCUAUAAUCCCGGGAGGACCACCAGUGGCGAAGGCUGUCGGCUAGAACGCGCUCGACGGUGAGGGACGAAAGCUGGGGGAGCGAACCGGAUUAGAUACCCGGGUAGUCCCAGCUGUAAACGAUGCGGGCUAGGUGUUGGGGUGGCUACGAGCCACUUCAGUGCCGCAGGGAAGCCAUUAAGCCCGCCGCCUGGGGGGUACGGCCGCAAGGCUGAAACUUAAAGGAAUUGGCGGGGGAGCACCACAAGGCGUGAAGCUUGCGGUUC